AUGGAGGCGGCAACCAUCGCCACACAACUAGGGCCGCCCGCCCUGGCCGUCGCACAUGAUCUCCCCACAGGCGUUGCCCUAGCCGCACCAUGGGGUCACCGCCGUGAACCACCCACCCAGGCACCUUCAGCGCCUGGCCCGCCGCCACCGUGGCCAACACCGGCGACAACGACAGUAGGGGAAACGCCUAGGUUGGAUGUCUACAUAUAUGACUAUUUCGUGAAGAGAAAUUUGCAGGAAACUGCAAAAGCCUUCCAAACGGAAGGGAAGGUCUCACCAGAUCCAGUUGCAAUUGAUGCUCCUGGUGGCUUCCUUUUUGAAUGGUGGUCGGUAUUUUGGGAUAUAUUCAUAGCAAGAACAAAUGAGAAGCAUUCAGAUAUUGCAGCAUCAUAUAUUCAGACUCAGUUAGUGAAAGCAAGGGAACAUCAACAUGAGCAUCAGCAACAACAGCAAUCUCAGCAGCAAACUCAGCAGCAGCAGCAGCAACAACAGCACCACCAACAGCAGCAGCAGCAGCAACAACAACAACAACACCAACAACAGCAACACCACCACCACCACCACCACCAACAAUCUCAGCAGCAGCAACAAUCUCAACAGCAUCAACAAAUACAAAUGCAGCAAAUGUUGUUACAGAGAGCUGCACAGCAGCAGCAGCAGCAGCGUAGAGAUGGUUCUAAUCUUCUUAAUGGCACUGCAAGUGGGCUUUCUGGAAUUGAUCCUUUAAUGCGACAAAACCCAGCAACUGCGAAUGCUAUGGCAGCAAAAAUGUAUGAGGAGAGGUUAAAGCUCCCUUCUCAAAGGGAUUCUCUGGAUGAGGCAUCGGUGAAGGUGCAGCAAAGGUAUGGGGAAAAUGCUGGCCAAGCACUUGAUCCAAACCAAACGUCGUUGAAAGCAGCCGCAGGCGGACAAUCUUCAGGGCAAAUUUUGCAUGGAGCUGUUGGUGGAUUGUCAGGUGCUCUGCAACAGGUUCAGGCAAGAAGCCCACAAAUGCCUAUGCAAGAACAGAGUAUCAAAACUGAGAUCAAUCCAGUUUUGACACCCAGAAGUGCAGGUCCCGAGGGAUCAUUCAUUGGUGUCCAAGGAUCUAGUCAAGGUGGAAGCAAUUUGACUCUGAAAGGUUGGCCACUCACGGGCCUCGACCAGCUUCGCUCUGGUAUCCUGCAGCCGAAGUCAUUUAUGCAAUCUCCACAACAACAAUUUCAACAGCUCCAAUUUCUGAAUCCACAACAGCAACAUCAGCUUUUGAUGCAAGCGCAGCAAAACAUGGCUUCCCCUACAGUUAGUGAUGUUGAUACCAGAAGAUUAAGGAUGCUUCUUAACAAUAGAAAUAUGGCCAUGGGGCAGGAUGGGCAGACAAACAGUGGUGGGGAUAUUAUUCCAAAUAUUGGUUCUCCUAGCCAAAGUGGUGGAUCACGUACAGAUAUAGACAUGCUAAUAAAGAAGAAAAUUGCUCAUUUACAACAGCAACAACAGCUUCAGCAAUCUACAGUCUCCAGUCAGCAAUCUCAGAGCUCAAAUCAGCUUCUCCAGCAACAGGAAAAGCCUGGAGUUGGAUGCAUGCCUAUUGAUGGAAGCAUACCAAACUCUUUUGUAGUAGCUGACCAAGCAUCAAAGAAGAGAAAGAAACCUGUCUCCUCUAGUAGAGCUAAUAGUUCAGGAACAGCAAAUACUGCUGGGCCAUCUCCAAGUUCUGCACCUUCGACGCCUUCCACUCACACACCAGGAGAUGCAAUGUCCAUGCCACAGCUGCUGCAUAAUGGUGGUCCAUCAAAACCAUUGAUGAUGUUUGGUUCUGAUGGCACUGGAAGCUUGACCUCUCCAGUAAACCCACUGGGUGAUGUGGACCGUUUGCUGGAAGAUGGCUCCUUGGAUGAAAAUGUAGACUCAUUUUUAUCACAGGAGGACAUGGAUCCUCGGGAAACCAUGGGAUGCUGCGUUGAUGCCAGUAAAGGGUCUGGUUUCUCCGAGGUUGCAAAAGCCCGUGCGAGUACAGGCAAAGUUAGCUGUUGCCAUUUCUCGUCAGACGGAAAACUGCUCGCCACCGGAGGCCACGAUAAAAAGGCUGUUUUAUGGUUUACAGAUGCCCUAAACCCCAAAUCUACAUUAGAAGAGCACUCGAUGCUUAUUACAGAUGUUCGAUUUAGCCCAAGCAUGACCCGCCUUGCAACAUCUUCCUUUGACAAAACUGUGCGGGUUUGGGAUGCUGACAAUCCAGAUUAUUCACUCCGCACUUUCACGGGUCAUUCAGCGUCUGUUAAGUCGCUUGAUUUUCAUUCAAAUAAAGAAGACAUCGUUUGCUCCUGUGAUAGUGAUGGGGAAGUGCGCUGCUGGAGCAUAAACAAUGGUAGCUGUGUGACGUGCGUUAGGGUCUUCAGCGGAGGUGCAACUCAGUUGAGAUAUCAACCUCGUCAAGGGAAAUAUCUUGCAGCUGCCUCUGAGAAGAUGAUAUCAAUAUUGGAUGCAGAAACACUACAAGUGUGUAGGAAUGCCUUAAAGGGACACAUAAAGAACAUCGAGUCGAUUUGUUGGGAUGCUGCGGGUGACUAUCUGGCCUCUGUAAGUGAAGAUUCUGUCAAGGUGUGGUCAUUUACUUCAGGAAAUGAUGGCGAGUGUGUGAAUGAGUUGAAUUGCAGUGGAAAUAAGUUCAAUUCAUGUGUUUUUCACCCGAAUUAUCCGUCAUUGCUUGUAAUUGGUUGUUACGAGUCCUUGGAACUUUGGGACAUAAGGGAGAAGAAUACGGUGACCAUCAGCAACGCCCAUGACGGCUUAAUUGCAGCCCUAGCUGCAUCAAAUGCAUCAGGGUUGGUCGCUUCAGUAAGUCAUGAUAAGCUUGUCAAGCUCUGGAAGUGA
RNAcentral lists this ribosomal RNA (2853 nucleotides) under Triticum aestivum (bread wheat). RNAcentral's name for it is "partial small subunit ribosomal RNA". The record is from RNAcentral. Lineage: Eukaryota; Viridiplantae; Streptophyta; Magnoliopsida; Poales; Poaceae.